Molecule: long non-coding RNA, 813 nt
Filed under: Gossypium barbadense (sea-island cotton)
Lineage: Eukaryota; Viridiplantae; Streptophyta; Magnoliopsida; Malvales; Malvaceae
Description: long non-coding RNA (GBAR_LNC002216)
Source: RNAcentral
CAAACUAAGUCGACAAAUUAAUACCGUUUGGCGUCGGCUUACAAAAUUAAUUUGGCUUGGUGGUAAUGACGUCGGAAAUGGUAGGCUAUCAAACAAAAUAGAAAUGGUUAAGUGUGGCUAUAUAGAUAUGGUCCUUCGGGCAACAAGCAAUGCUUUUACAAACCCAAAACGAAUUUCAAUCACUUUUUUUUUUUCAAUUUUGAUUUUUUUUUCUUCUUUUUUUGUUUUAAUUCCGAAUUUUUUUUUCUUCUUUUUUUUUUCUUCAAUACUAAAUACAAAAAGUACAAAUAAAUUGAAUACAAACUUUUUUUUUUGAAUUUUUUUUUUUUCAAAUUUUUUUUUUUUUCGAAUUUUUUUUUUAUAUAUUUUUUUUUACAAUACCGUAAUACCGAUAACGUCGAUCUUACUCCGAUUUAGCUAGCUCUGAUACCAAAUGAUACGCCCCGGCCCAGGAAGGAGAGUCGAGUCGUAGAUGUGCCCGAUCGUGAAUUGGAGUAAUUUGAAAGCUUUACAAAAUAGGCUAGAAGAAAAGGAAUUAUUUAGGCUCAAUAAAGUUUUGUUGGUUUAGGAAAUGAAACAUAAAUCAAUGGAUGAAGUUUGGGCUAAGUAUUCAAAAGCCGAACUAACACAAUAGGAGUGUGUUAACCCGUAACUUAGGAGAAUGCUUAGGUUGGUAGGUGUUGAUGGAAGGUUUGUUAAGUGGAUAGAAACUUCGACCCGCUAUCAAAAAUGAUAGGAACCUCAGUACGAAUCGAACGCCACACUUUUGGGAUUAAAGUGAUAAGUUCGGAUAGAAAGACGGGUUGACGCCAC